RNAcentral lists this long non-coding RNA (1560 nucleotides) under Amborella trichopoda. Its description in RNAcentral is "long non-coding RNA (ATRI_LNC004113)". The record is from RNAcentral. Lineage: Eukaryota; Viridiplantae; Streptophyta; Magnoliopsida; Amborellales; Amborellaceae.
CAACGAGGGACAAAAAGAAGGCCGAGCUAGCAAAAAAGCAAGUGCCGCAACAUGUUCGACCUCCUAGCAGUGGUGGAACCCUAGACCUAUCUCUGCAUCUCACCUCGCUCUCAUCUCUCGACUCCUGUGUUUCCAUUUCACCUUUUUCGCUCUCUGAUGAUUCUGAAUCACUAAGCUCUUGAUCCUUCUCCUCACUUAAUGUAUCCGUUUUUACAAGUCCUUCAUCCUCAACCUUUUUGGACUCUUCUUCUUCACUACGUAUUAUGAUCUGAUCCUCUUCAGGUGUUUCUGUUUUAGGAAAUAUUUGAUCUGGUUCUUUUGUUUCAGUUAAAGAUGGUUCAGUUACAAUAGCGGGGGUUUCUAUUUUUGGAAGUUCUUUAUGCUCUCUCUCAAUAAUUGAAGGUACCUCUGGUUUUUCUGCUACUGCAAUUUCUUCAACUUCCUUGGAAGCUUCAGGUGUUUCUAGUUUGGGAAGUAUCUCUUCUUGUUUCUGUUCAGUUAAAAGCUCCUCUUCACUUUCUAUUUCAGGAAGUUCAACGCCUGGUUUCUCUUCAAUAGAAGCUUUCUCUGGGAUCUCCACAUCAGAAACAUGCUCAUCUUUAGAAGCCUCUGGUGUUUCCAUUUCAGGAAGUUGCUCUUCAGGUUGCAAUUCAAUUGAACCUGCUUCCUGUGUUUUCAUUUCUGGAACUUCUUGACAAGGUUCAAGAGCUUCUUUCUCUAGAUGCUCUUUUUCUUGAGAAGAUUGAGGUGUUUCAACUUUUGGAAGCUUUUCCUCUCUCCUCUCUUCAAUAAUAUGUGCUUCCUGCAAUUCCAAUUCAGGGCUCACUUGCUCCCUUGCCUCUUCACUUGGAGGCAACUCUUUUGUUCCCUCUCCAGAAAUAUCUUUAUCGACAAAGGGCUCUUUUGGCUCAGUAACCUUCUGAUCACAUUUCUCUUCAGCCAAAGCUUUUACCUCAAAAUAUUGAGUUUCGGGUUCCACUUUUACUACAGGAAACUCUUUUUCUCUCUCCUCUUCAAAAGCCCUUGAUUCAGAAACUGGUAUCUCCAGUUCUGGUUUUGGUUUGAGCAAAGGAUCUUCAUGUUCUGUUUUUAAUUCAGGAAGUUCUUUAUCUGCUUCCUUUUCUACUACAACGAACUCCUCUUUCUUCUCUUUAAUAGGACUAACCAGAAUCUCCAGUUCUUUUGUUUUAAGCAGAGGUUCUUCCUGAUGUGGUUUCUUUUCCACUGGAAGAGACACUUCCUCUAUCUUCUCUUCAAUAGGUCUCUUCACAGUAACAAGAAUGCUUGACUCUUGCCUCGGUUCAGUUAGUGGUUCUUUGUGAACUGCUGUCGAUUCAGGAAGUUCUUGAUCCGGUUCCUUUUCGAUUACACGAGUCUCUUCAUCUCUCUUCUCUUCAAAAGGAGUCUUUUCAAUAACCAGAGUCUCUGGUUCUUGCCAGGGUUUAAUCUCAUGCUCAUCCUCUAUUUUCUUAUCAGGUUCAAUCUUGUCCGGUUUUGGCUUAGGAACUUCCUGAUACGGCUCCUUUUCCACAACAUGAGGCUCUUUCUCUCUCUUUUCUU